Molecule: ribosomal RNA, 253 nt
Filed under: uncultured bacterium
Lineage: Bacteria
Description: partial 16S ribosomal RNA
Rfam family: Bacterial small subunit ribosomal RNA
Source: RNAcentral
UACGGAGGGUGCAAGCGUUAAUCGGAAUUACUGGGCGUAAAGGGCGCGUAGGCGGUUAUGUAAGUGUAAUGUGAAAUCCCAGGGCUCAACCUUGGAACUGCAUUUCAAACUGCAUGACUAGAGUGCGAUAGAGGGAGGUAGAAUUUCCGGUGUAGCGGUGAAAUGCGUAGAGAUCGGAAGGAAUACCGGUGGCGAAGGCGGCCUCCUGGAUCGACACUGACGCUGAGGUGCGAAAGCGUGGGGAGCAAACAGG